This 429-nucleotide ribosomal RNA is filed under the name bacterium. RNAcentral's name for it is "partial 16S ribosomal RNA". It matches the Rfam family "Bacterial small subunit ribosomal RNA", at positions 355 to 776 of the family's 1533-position model. The record is from RNAcentral.
UGGGGAAUCUUGCGCAAUGCGCGAAAGCGUGACGCAGCAACGCCGCGUGGGGGAAGAAGGCCUUCGGGUUGUAAACCCCUUUCAGUUGGGACGAAGCUUCGCCGGUUAAUAGCCGGCUGGAGUGACGGUACCUUCAGAAGAAGCCCCGGCUAACUACGUGCCAGCAGCCGCGGUAAUACGUAGGGGGCUAGCGUUGUCCGGAAUCAUUGGGCGUAAAGCGCGUGUAGGCGGCCCGGUAAGUCCGCUGUGAAAGUCGGGGGCUCAACCCUCGGAUGCCGGUGGAUACUGUCGGGCUCGAGUACGGAAGAGGCGAGUGGAAUUCCUGGUGUAGCGGUGAAAUGCGCAGAUAUCAGGAGGAACACCAAUUGCGAAGGCAGCUCGCUGGGACGUUACUGACGCUGAGACGCGAAAGCGUGGGGAGCAAACAGG